Long non-coding RNA from Cotesia glomerata, 524 nucleotides. RefSeq lists it as uncharacterized. The transcript is spliced from 3 exons. The record is from RefSeq and is a predicted model, not a curated record. NCBI's taxonomy places the organism in Eukaryota, Metazoa, Arthropoda, Insecta, Hymenoptera, Braconidae.
CGGUGUGCUCAAUAUAAUUAUGAAGUAAAUAUCAUCGUAGAAUAUUAUAUAUCGGGAUAAUAUUUAGUAAUUUAUAAAUUAUUUUGGCAGUGUGAUCCUCUCUCUCCGCGACCAUGCUGUGAUUCAAGCCUUUCUUGCAAGUUGAAGAAAUCAAGAAGCGAGUUCGUGUGUGGAGAAAAAGCCAAACUAGGAGCCUCGUGCGUCUCAGAUGAAGACUGUUAUGAAAUAAUGCACGCGAAAUGCUCUUCGGAGAAGAAAUGUGUUUGCAGAGCGAACAAUCUCAGGUUAAACGAAACAUACUGUGCACCAUCAUUGGGAGGAUUUUGUUGGAAGAACGAGAAAUGCGUAACUAAAAAUGCUCUGUGCAUUGAUAAUGAGUGUCGUUGCAGGGAAAACUACUCAGUUAGCGAAGAUCAAUGCUUACCAGUUCUCAUAGGCUCGCAUUGCAGUUAUGAUAGAGAUUGUGCUAAAAUAAAAUUUGCAAAAUGCUCAGAAAAUAAUUAUUGCGUUUGUUCACUCAAUAC